RNAcentral lists this transfer RNA (90 nucleotides) under Streptomyces sp. NBS 14/10. RNAcentral describes it as "tRNA-OTHER". Lineage: Bacteria; Bacillati; Actinomycetota; Actinomycetes; Kitasatosporales; Streptomycetaceae. The record is from RNAcentral.
GGGCGGGUGAGACCGGUGAACGCUUGUCGGUCUUGAAAACCGUCGUGGCAGCGAUGUCACCGAGGGUUCAAAUCCCUCAGCCUCCGCCCA